This 301-nucleotide ribosomal RNA is filed under the name uncultured bacterium. RNAcentral's name for it is "partial 16S ribosomal RNA". It matches the Rfam family "Bacterial small subunit ribosomal RNA", at positions 509 to 809 of the family's 1533-position model. The record is from RNAcentral.
CAGUCGCCGCGGGAAUACGUAGGUGGCAAGCGUUGUCCGGAAUUAUUGGGCGUAAAGGGCGCGUAGGCGGACUGAUAAGUCAGGGGUGAAAUCCCAAGGCUCAACCUUGGAACUGCCUUUGAUACUGUUUGUCUUGAGUUCGAGAGAGGUAAGUGGAACUGCGAGUGUAGAGGUGAAAUUCGUAGAUAUUCGCAAGAACACCAGUGGCGAAGGCGGCUUACUGGCUCGAAACUGACGCUGAGGCGCGAAAGCGUGGGGAGCAAACAGGAUUAGAUACCCCUGUAGUCCCUGUCUCUUAUAA